This is a long non-coding RNA of Phasianus colchicus (ring-necked pheasant), 794 nucleotides long. RefSeq lists it as uncharacterized. Lineage: Eukaryota; Metazoa; Chordata; Aves; Galliformes; Phasianidae. The record is from RefSeq and is a predicted model, not a curated record.
GUAUCUCUGCUUUUUCCUCUUGAUUUAUGCAGAAGUUGACAAAAGUGCUACUAAUUCAAAAGGAUGCGAAGAACUAGAAACUCUAGUGAUGAGCUGUCUGGGUCACAAUGAUGCUACAUAAUGGAUUUCCUUGAGAAGGCUGUCCACAGUGCCAGCAGGGAAGGGGCACAGCAUAGAUGCCAAUGGUUGUUUCCUGCAAAGAAGAGCAACACAGAGCCAAGACAGAAGGCAAUCUCUGCUGCAUGCUGAUCAGAAUGUAAUUGGAGAAGGAUUUCUCGCAGUCCACCUCUGAAAUGAAACACGACACAACCCUUCCAGUUUCGGAUUGCAGGACUGACCAGCAUACAUGCCUUCAUCAUGGAGACAGAUGAAUUCUACCUCCCUCUGGUCCUUCAGUGUUGGUGAGCAUUAAAAAGUCACUCCUUGUGUACUCCUCCCCAUUACUGUGCCUUGUUUAAGAGUGCAAACUGAUACAGCCUUUCCACAAGGCAUCCUGCCUUCCUACAUCCCUGGAGAUUGUCCAGGGACCUGAAGAUUAGAAGGACAAAGCAGUGUGACUCCUCCAUGAGCCACAGCAAAAUGAGUCUGUAGCCAGAACAGAUCAUCUAUAGGUUUUAGCAGGCAGAUUCAACACUGAAGAACAGCUCUUUCUGUUUCCCAUUGAUGACAAAGCCUCCACAUUCACCUAAAUGAUUUGUUCUGUCCCAACCUCACCGAGGUCCUACAAAUUCAUCCUCCACACGGUCAGGAUAGAAACAAAGAUGAGUUUGAGAAGUUUGUUUAGUCUAGGGAGA